RNAcentral lists this ribosomal RNA (254 nucleotides) under uncultured bacterium. RNAcentral describes it as "partial 16S ribosomal RNA". It matches the Rfam family "Bacterial small subunit ribosomal RNA", at positions 524 to 776 of the family's 1533-position model. The record is from RNAcentral.
UCCGAAGGGGGCUAGCGUUGUUCGGAAUUACUGGGCGUAAAGCGCGCGUAGGCGGUUUUGCAAGCCAGAGGUGAAAUGCCUGAGCUCAACUUAGGAAUUGCCUUUGGGACUGCGAGGCUUUGAGGACUGGAGAGGUGAGUGGAAUUCCCAGUGUAGAGGUGAAAUUCGUAGAUAUUGGGAAGAACACCGGUGGCGAAGGCGGCUCACUGGCCAGUUUCUGACGCUGCAGCGCGAAAGCGUGGGGAUCAAACAGG